Molecule: ribosomal RNA, 253 nt
Filed under: uncultured bacterium
Lineage: Bacteria
Description: partial 16S ribosomal RNA
Rfam family: Bacterial small subunit ribosomal RNA
Source: RNAcentral
UACGUAGGUGACAAGCGUUGUCCGGAUUUACUGGGCGUAAAGAGCGCGCAGGCGGUCGAUCAAGUCGAGUGUGAAAGCCCCCGGCUCAACUGGGGAGGGUCAUUCGAUACUGAUCGACUCGAAGGCAGGAGAGGGUAGUGGAAUUCCCGGUGUAGUGGUGGAAUGCGUAGAUAUCGGGAGGAACACCAGUGGCGAAGGCGACUACCUGGCCUGUUCUUGACGCUGAGGCGCGAAAGCUAGGGGAGCAAACGGG